GAGGCUGUAGCUCAGUGGUAAAGCACUUGUCUCCCAGGUAUGAGGCUCUGGGUUCAAUCCUCAGCACCACA
RNAcentral lists this transfer RNA (71 nucleotides) under Marmota monax (woodchuck). RNAcentral describes it as "tRNA.Gly". The stretch from base 6 to 66 matches the Rfam family "tRNA", at positions 6 to 65 of the family's 71-position model. Rfam says of the family: Transfer RNA (tRNA) molecules are approximately 80 nucleotides in length. Their secondary structure includes four short double-helical elements and three loops (D, anti-codon, and T loops). Further hydrogen bonds mediate the characteristic L-shaped molecular structure. tRNAs have two regions of fundamental functional importance: the anti-codon, which is responsible for specific mRNA codon recognition, and the 3' end, to which the tRNAs corresponding amino acid is attached (by aminoacyl-tRNA synthetases). tRNAs cope with the degeneracy of the genetic code in two manners: having more than one tRNA (with a specific anti-codon) for a particular amino acid; and 'wobble' base-pairing, i.e. permitting non-standard base-pairing at the 3rd anti-codon position. Lineage: Eukaryota; Metazoa; Chordata; Mammalia; Rodentia; Sciuridae. The record is from RNAcentral.